GUACCGUAAAAUACCGCAAAAUACCGAAUUUAAGGUAUACCGGUUUUUUUGGUAAGGUAUGAUACCGUACCGAAGAUUUACGGUAAGGUAAAGGUAUGGAUUUUCCAAAUACCGGGGUAUACCGGUGUAUACCGAUACCGCGGUAUAUACCGAAAAAAUCAAUAAAUACCGUAUUAAAGGUAUAUACCGAAAUACGGUAUGAUACCGUAUUACUGGUAUACCGAAUAUUACUGCAUAUAACGGUG
This 245-nucleotide long non-coding RNA is filed under the name Salvia miltiorrhiza (redroot sage). Its description in RNAcentral is "long non-coding RNA (SMIL_LNC009419)". The record is from RNAcentral. Lineage: Eukaryota; Viridiplantae; Streptophyta; Magnoliopsida; Lamiales; Lamiaceae.